This 1095-nucleotide long non-coding RNA is filed under the name Homo sapiens (human). RNAcentral describes it as "HSALNT0056047". Lineage: Eukaryota; Metazoa; Chordata; Mammalia; Primates; Hominidae. The record is from RNAcentral.
UAGAAAGGCAAUACUCUAUGUAUGCCAUUUAUUAUUUAACACCGAUCAUUGAACUCAUUAAUCCUUCUACACAGGAAAACAUUAAUAUUCACAUUAAGUGGACUAAAUAGAUUAAGUUACAUUAUGCCAGACAGAGUCGGGAUGAAUGAGUUUAGUUUAGGCUCAGGUUUGGUCAUCAAAUGAAUCACCAAAAAAAAAAAAAAAUUUGUUUUCAGAGCUUUCUGGAUUUCAGAAUUUCAGAUAAGGGAAUGUAGGUCUCGGCUUCUGUAUUUCACAGGGAGGAGUAGUCCGAGUAGGUGCCUGGAAAUAGGGUCUUUGUAGAUGUAAUCAAGUUAUGAUGAGGUCAUUAGGGUGGGCCCUGAUCCGAUACAAAGUGUGUCCUUUUGAGAAGAGGAAAACCGGAGCGUGAAACUGAUGACCGUGAGCUCCUCUGAGGGUCGGUGAUAGGACAUCCAAUUAGAGAGCUGCAGAGGAGGAGGAGUACCAGGCCAUGGAAGGGGUUGGAGGCUAGAAGGGGCUUUCCAGGCAGAGGGAGCAGAGUUUUCAAAAGUCCUGUGGCAGGAUUGAGCGGUCAGGAAGCUAAAAGGUAUUCUAGAAAACCCUUUGCGAAUAAAGUUUAAAGCUUCCCCAAUUUAAACAGAAAUGGAGCCCUGCCUAAAUGUAAAAGGCUACUAAGUAGAACUUGCUUAUUGUGGCAGACAAGCUGUGGGGUUCUGGCCAGUUGUCUGCAUCCGUCUCUGAGAAUUCUUUUCCUUCAGCCACGGGGGAAGGAAGGCCCCUUCAGCCUAAUGGGACCUGCGUAAGCCCACCCCUCUUCUGCAGCUGUUCGGCCAGGAGCGAGCUUUGGUUGGCUUCUUGCCGCUUAAAUAUUUCUCUCUCUCUCUCUGAAUCAAGAAACAGAGAUGAGAGAGUUGGCCGUUUAGUUACUUUAAUGGCGCAACUUUAGAAUGUCUAGACUUCUGCUUCAGAGAGAUGCCUGGCUCCUACCUUCUGAUAAGGCUGGCAGGUCGGGUGCCUCUGGAAGCUGGCCCUGAGACAAGGAUUUGAAUGUAAGUAGUUCACUGGGAGGUGAUCCCAAGAGUCAUUGUCUGGGCA